This 446-nucleotide ribosomal RNA is filed under the name uncultured bacterium. Its description in RNAcentral is "partial 16S ribosomal RNA". It matches the Rfam family "Bacterial small subunit ribosomal RNA", at positions 338 to 795 of the family's 1533-position model. The record is from RNAcentral.
CCUACGGGCGGCUGCAGUCGAGAAUCAUUCACAAUGGGGGAAACCCUGAUGGUGCGACGCCGCGUGGGGGAAUGAAGGUCUUCGGAUUGUAAACCCCUGUCAUGUGGGAGCAAAUUAAAAAGAUAGUACCACAAGAGGAAGAGACGGCUAACUCUGUGCCAGCAGCCGCGGUAAUACAGAGGUCUCAAGCGUUGUUCGGAAUCACUGGGCGGAAAGCGUGCGUAGGCGGUUUCGUAAGUCGUGUGUGAAAGGCGCGGGCUCAACCCGCGGACGGCAGAUGAUACUGCGAGACUAGAGUAAUGGAGGGGGAAGCGGAAUGCUCGGUGUAGCAGUGAAAUGCGUAGAUAUCGAGAGGAACACUCGUGGCGAAGGCGGGUUCCUGGACAUUAACUGACGCUGAGGCACGAAGGCCAGGGGAGCGAAAGGGAUUAGAUACCCGGGUAGUC